RNAcentral lists this ribosomal RNA (1433 nucleotides) under uncultured organism. Its description in RNAcentral is "16S ribosomal RNA". It matches the Rfam family "Bacterial small subunit ribosomal RNA". The record is from RNAcentral.
GCUAGCUACAGGCUUAACACAUGCAAGUCGAGGGUUAGCAUGGUCUUAGCUUGCUAAGGCCGAUGGCGACCGGCGCACGGGUGAGUAACACGUAUCCAACCUGCCGUCUACUCUUGGACAGCCUUCUGAAAGGAAGAUUAAUACAAGAUGGCAUCAUGAGUCCACAUGUUCACAUGAUUAAAGGUAUUCCGGUAGACGAUGGGGAUGCGUUCCAUUAGAUAGUAGGCGGGGUAACGGCCCACCUAGUCUUCGAUGGAUAGGGGUUCUGAGAGGAAGGUCCCCCACAUUGGAACUGAGACACGGUCCAAACUCCUACGGGAGGCAGCAGUGAGGAAUAUUGGUCAAUGGGCGAGAGCCUGAACCAGCCAAGUAGCGUGAAGGAUGACUGCCCUAUGGGUUGUAAACUUCUUUUAUAAAGGAAUAAAGUCGGGUAUGCAUACCCGUUUGCAUGUACUUUAUGAAUAAGGAUCGGCUAACUCCGUGCCAGCAGCCGCGGUAAUACGGAGGAUCCGAGCGUUAUCCGGAUUUAUUGGGUUUAAAGGGAGCGUAGAUGGAUGUUUAAGUCAGUUGUGAAAGUUUGCGGCUCAACCGUAAAAUUGCAGUUGAUACUGGAUAUCUUGAGUGCAGUUGAGGCAGGCGGAAUUCGUGGUGUAGCGGUGAAAUGCUUAGAUAUCACGAAGAACUCCGAUUGCGAAGGCAGCCUGCUAAGCUGCAACUGACAUUGAGGCUCGAAAGUGUGGGUAUCAAACAGGAUUAGAUACCCUGGUAGUCCACACGGUAAACGAUGAAUACUCGCUGUUUGCGAUAUACAGCAAGCGGCCAAGCGAAAGCGUUAAGUAUUCCACCUGGGGAGUACGCCGGCAACGGUGAAACUCAAAGGAAUUGACGGGGGCCCGCACAAGCGGAGGAACAUGUGGUUUAAUUCGAUGAUACGCGAGGAACCUUACCCGGGCUUAAAUUGCAGAUGAAUUACGGUGAAAGCCGUAAGCCGCAAGGCAUCUGUGAAGGUGCUGCAUGGUUGUCGUCAGCUCGUGCCGUGAGGUGUCGGCUUAAGUGCCAUAACGAGCGCAACCCUUGUUGUCAGUUACUAACAGGUCAUGCUGAGGACUCUGACAAGACUGCCAUCGUAAGAUGUGAGGAAGGUGGGGAUGACGUCAAAUCAGCACGGCCCUUACGUCCGGGGCUACACACGUGUUACAAUGGGGGGUACAGAGGGCCGCUACCACGCGAGUGGAUGCCAAUCCCAAAAACCUCUCUCAGUUCGGACUGGAGUCUGCAACCCGACUCCACGAAGCUGGAUUCGCUAGUAAUCGCGCAUCAGCCACGGCGCGGUGAAUACGUUCCCGGGCCUUGUACACACCGCCCGUCAAGCCAUGGGAGCCGGGGGUACCUGAAGUGCGUAACCGCGAGGAGCGCCCUAGGGUAAAACUGGU